GGCCCUCCGCCGGCACCGGCCAGGAGCACUUCCGCCUUCCUCCCUCCACCCCGGAAGCCACGGCGCCAUCCCGGAAGUGCUCCCGGGCCCCGCGCGGGCCGCGCUCCACAGCGCCCCCAGCGGUGGGGCGGGCAGCGGGGCGGGGCUGCCUCGUGCUUUUCUGUGAACUUCCAAUUGAAGCAAAUUUCGGUGUGAGUUUUGAAGUAGAAACGGCUACGUAAGACGUGUGGCACUGCUCCGUGCAGGUAUGCGGCUUGGGAACCUGAAGACAACAGUUAAAAGGGUAUUUUUGUCAGGUUUUCAUUUUCCACCGCUGUCGCAGCCUGUCGCCAUCGCCCCCUUCACACGUCCCUCAGCGCCGUCCCACCCCGCGGCGGUCCCACGGGCGGGCGGCACAAAAUGGAGGGGGUGCCCGAAGCUGCGGCGUGACGCGAGUGGGGCGGGCAGCAGCGGCACUGCUCGGCACACGCGGCGCUGCCGGGCGGGUAACGGCCGCGGGUCCGCGGCUGCGCUGGGAUCGUGGUGUGGGUGCGCUGGUCUAAAUGUGUUAACGAAUGCGUAGACUCAGCAGUUUGGGAUUACUUUAGCAAAUAAAUUACAAAAUAGUGCUGUGAUCCAGCAAAAAGCACAAUGCGUGUGUAUCCCUGCGCUGUGCCCCUUGUUAGUAUGUGCCAGGCCC
This 679-nucleotide long non-coding RNA is filed under the name Gallus gallus (chicken). Its description in RNAcentral is "long non-coding RNA NONGGAT013418". The record is from RNAcentral. Lineage: Eukaryota; Metazoa; Chordata; Aves; Galliformes; Phasianidae.